UGCCUGUGAUGUACCUACAAUUCUGACACCUCGUAUGAGACUGUAAGAACAGUCCCCUGAUUUUACUCUUCAGGCUGAGGCAG
Molecule: small nucleolar RNA, 83 nt
Organism: Pseudophryne corroboree (corroboree frog)
Lineage: Eukaryota; Metazoa; Chordata; Amphibia; Anura; Myobatrachidae
Product: small nucleolar RNA SNORD60
Exons: 1
Source: RefSeq, a predicted model, not a curated record